UAGGGAAUAUUGGACAAUGGGUGAGAGCCUGAUCCAGCCAUGCCGCGUGCAGGAAGAAGGCGUUAUGCGUUGUAAACUGCUUUUGCCAGGGGAUAAAAAGACCGUGCGCGGUUAAUUGAAGGUACCUGGUGAAUAAGCCACGGCUAACUACGUGCCAGCAGCCGCGGUAAUACGUAGGGACCAAGCGUUGUUCGGAUUUACUGGGCGUAAAGGGUGCGUAGGCGGCAUAUCAAGUCACUUGUGAAAUCUCCGGGCUUAACUCGGAACUGCCAAAGUGAUACUGAUGUGCUAGAGUGCAGAAAGGGCAACUGGAAUUCUUGGUGUAGCGGUGAAAUGCGUAGAUAUCAAGAGGAACACCUGAGGCGAAGGCGAGUUGCUAGGCUGACACUGACGCUGAGGUACGAAAGCUAGGGGAGCGAACGGGAUUAGAUACCCCCGUAGUCCCUGAGCGGGCUGGCAAGGCGCAU
RNAcentral lists this ribosomal RNA (467 nucleotides) under uncultured bacterium. RNAcentral describes it as "bacterial SSU rRNA". It matches the Rfam family "Bacterial small subunit ribosomal RNA", at positions 355 to 825 of the family's 1533-position model. The record is from RNAcentral.